Molecule: long non-coding RNA, 256 nt
Filed under: Elaeis guineensis (African oil palm)
Lineage: Eukaryota; Viridiplantae; Streptophyta; Magnoliopsida; Arecales; Arecaceae
Description: long non-coding RNA (EGUI_LNC047363)
Source: RNAcentral
UGUGAGUUUUUUGAGAGUGUCUCAUAUCUAAAGCUCCUUCUCCUACUUCUUAUCUGUGAAAGAGUCUAAAUCAAGAAGAAGGAGGCAUCUAAUCAACCAUCGAAGAAGGAUCAGCAUGUACUAGCAUACUGUGCUGAUUUCCUGGAUCAAGACUUCUGUUCGUGAUUCGUGGGCUCGUGUGGAUGACUGCUAGAGGUCAGAUACAUGUACAACUUGCAACAUCAUCCUCAAGCCCGGAUCAACAAAGUUAGAACGU